UACGGAGGGUGCAAGCGUUAUCCGGAUUUACUGGGUUUAAAGGGUGCGUAGGUGGGCCUGUAAGUCAGUGGUGAAAUCUUCGAGCUUAACUCGGAAACUGCCAUUGAUACUAUAGGUCUUGAAUCAUCUGGAGGUGAGCGGAAUAUGUCAUGUAGCGGUGAAAUGCUUAGAUAUGACAUAGAACACCGAUUGCGAAGGCAGCUCACUACGGAUGUAUUGACACUGAGGCACGAAAGCGUGGGGAUCAAACAGG
Molecule: ribosomal RNA, 253 nt
Filed under: uncultured bacterium
Lineage: Bacteria
Description: partial 16S ribosomal RNA
Rfam family: Bacterial small subunit ribosomal RNA
Source: RNAcentral